This 3375-nucleotide long non-coding RNA is filed under the name Homo sapiens (human). RNAcentral's name for it is "HSALNT0170023". The record is from RNAcentral. Lineage: Eukaryota; Metazoa; Chordata; Mammalia; Primates; Hominidae.
AAACAACAUAGGAGAAUUUCCCCUUCCUUCCACUGGGUUCUUGAGAACAGUGCUAUGGCCAUUAAAGAGCAAGGCGGAAUAGAACAGGCAAACAAACCUCUCCUAGGUCUCCUAGGAUAACGACAGGGAAGACACCACGGAAACACCAACGUGGUGACACCUGCAGCCCCAGGGAUGCAAGCCAUCAUUGGUGACCUCAGGGAGGUUGCUCCCUGGACAGGAGAAGAAGGCCUUUCCAUCUUUUUUGAGCUGAAAUACCAAAAGAGGCCCCGAUGACUCUCGAAGCUUUUGGACAGAAGCUCCAAGUCCUAUUCCUCGAUGGCGUGGGAGGGAGCUGCAUCGAAUCGUAUUGAGGAGUUCAGUAGAAAGGAGCACCGUGGGCUCUGCUCCCAAGCGGCUUCUUUCCAGGUCUGUGUCCUGAAGUUCUUGAUGUGUGCAGUCUUUGCCCUCCCAUCCAGCUUCAGCCUGUAUCCUCACCACCCAGAACCCAGACAGACAGCAACCUCAACUCCCCCUACCCCCAGCCUGCCACAUUCUGUGACUGCAGCUAUGUGAGUUAGAAACUGCAUUUAGAUUUUACAACUAAAAAAUGGGAUGGACCACAUUUCUUUAGGAACAAUACUUGGCUACUCCCCAUUAGAAUGUUUUCACCAAAAGAUUGUUCUGAACUUCAAAAAAUUAAGCAUUUACUCAGCCCCUCCAACUUCUUUUCUAAUGCUUUUUAAAAAUAGACAGAGGGACCUCUGAAGGGAUGUCCACUCCAAUCCCCUUACUGGGAGGCCCAGAGCGAGUACAUGACCUCUCACCCUGGCCAUGAGGAUGCUGGAGUGAAGCCUGCAUUGGCCCAGCUGCCAACUCCUGCUCUGCCCAUCCUGGAGCCCUACACAGCUCCUCAGGCAACAGGACCACUGUUUUAAAGAAGCCUCAUUGUUCAAUAAUUUGGCAAAGUAGCCAGAUUAUCCAGGUGCCUGGGGUGUGGCAGAAAGAGCCCUGCACCAGCUGGCAGAAGGACUGGCCUUGAGACACCUGCUUGGUCCACUCUAGUGACUUUCUUGGGUAAGUCACAUGUCAGGGCAAGGACAGAAAGACCCACCAUACUGCACAGGUUUGGGGGAUGAGGAAAUCAUGCCUGCAGAAAUACCGUAUAAACCAUAAAGCAUCAUACAAACGUAAGGUUUUAUUUGUACUUCGUUCAAGGUAAACUAAGAUGGAAGGAGAACCCUUAGGCAGAUGGUAACAUUGGUCCAUCCCCUGGCACACCAUAAUCCACGGAAGAGUUCAUAAAUCUGCCACAUGCCAAAAUCAGGCUCAUCCAGGAAAGGAGCAGGAAGAACUUGCUUCCUCCCGUUCUGUAUCUACUGGACCUUGGAGGUGAUCCUGCAGCUGCACCUGCCCAGGCACCUGUGACUCAUGCUGCCUUGAGGUCCUCAUUCAGAGGGCCUCUACCUAGAGGGCAUUGCUGUGCCCGGCCCCUUGUCCCUCCUCACACCAGGUCUGUGCAGGGGCAUGAACACACCCAGCCCUGGGAGCCAUGACUUGGUCAUCGCGGCUUUCUGUGACUCCAGGAAUCACCCGGAAUUCACUCUAUACUUUAUGAAAACAGUGGUCCCCAGGAGGCACGCCCACAGUGGUGGAGUGGUACAACCUGUGAGCCAGAGUCAGAAUUCCUCUGCAGACUGGACCCACGUUGAGGCGCCUCAUAGAAGCACACACACAGGUGGAAGAGGUGAGUAGAACGCCCUUGGUCCAGGCUUCCCUUCUUCUAAUUAUCUGCUUAAUGGCAGGUGUGGAAGAUCAGCUGCAAAUGACUUUGAGUGGCCUCUCAAUAAACCAGAGGUCCGUAAGAAGAUGCAGUGCCAGGCUGUGCUUGAGUGAAGCAGGCGGGUGGCCAGAGAUGUGCAGGUGCUGACAUGAGGCCCUCUCGCCUGGGACAGUUUCCUGUGGUCAAGCCCCCCAGAUGCUGUAGCAGGGAGGCUACUGGACCCCGUGUGAAUUCCUGGGAGUGGGGGCACACCCCCUGUCAUUGCAGAAAUGACACUGGAGCUGUCCUGCCCAGCGCUAGACUGCAGCUCUGGCCUUUUGAAAGGUUCCAGCCUCAAGAUCAUCAUGUAAAUUUCUGGUGGCUUCUCAGUAGCUUUGGAAGAUCUUCAUUUCCUUUUGCUGAGUGUGCCAUUCUUUAGAUGGGGACAUUUCUUAAAGGGGGCAGCCGAAGGCCACCUGGAAGCUCACUCCGUAUUUGAAAUGGUGCUUCUUGAAGUUUCAUUAGGCUGUCCUCCAAUCUCCUUUCCAAAGGGACCUUGUGACCUUCCUCAAAAAACACCACUGGAAGUUUAGGCUUGACACAAUGCUGUACAAAGGAAGCAAGAGAGAUCAAGCAGCAGGGGUGCGGUGAGCGGCCUGGCCACAGCACCCACAGCAGGUGCAGCCCUGCCGACUGAGAUUUCCUGCCAGCAACCACAUGGCUUGUCCUCCCUGAGCCUUGCCAGCCGGUCGGCGUACAGCUGUGAGCCACGGCACACACAAGUGUCCUGAGAGGUUUUUCCUGGAUGAAAUUGGCAUAGAAUAUAUGGGCCUUUCUCUGAAAAUCUGACCUGAGUACUGUCCUCUCCUCUCCUCUCCUGUGCUUGGAGUUAUAGCAAAAUGGACGCUGCAUCCUUCCCAGCUGUUUCACAGGCAGAUGUAACAGUUGAUACAAGAAGAUUAAAAAAAAAUAGUCGGAUGUCUACAUUACAGAGAAGAGGGGGUCGAGUGAGGAGAGGCAGCACCGCAGUGUCUGGGCGAUCGCAUUACUGUGUCGUCAUCAGUUCUGGGUACAGGUCAGUAACUGUCUCUGCUUCCCCUCCUGAGCCUUCAACCACAUCCAAUUAGCACUGCCCUGCCGUGACGCAGCCUGCCUCUCUUAAUGAGAGCCCCGCUCCAGCGGAGCACGUGCAGUGAGAGGCUUCAGAAACAGGUGCCUUCCGCGGAGCUCGCGUGGGGCGGGCAGAGCAGGCCCUUCCGUCCAGCUCCAAACAGGCAGGCUGCAGCCUCUUGGAACCAGGACUUGGCUGGCAGGGGAUCAAUUAGGCCAUUCCGCUGUCCAUGGGCUUCCGCGUGGACAGGAGGGAAAGAGUGAAACCAGGUCUCGCCUCCCAGAGUGAAGCCCCCUCCUGCCGCUGUGUUCACUGCUCGGUGCCAGAGGACUUAUUAGUGGAUUGCCAGUUUGAGACGCUUCCCUGGAUGUUCAGGAAGGCUGAGUGCCCCGUGUUUCUCUUCAUAUAUGCAUACAUAUACAUACACCAAAUAUACUAAAGUAUUCUGCUCAUUUGUCUGUUUUAGGAAAUAAUGUCUCAUUUUUUAUUAAAAUGUGAGUGUCUCAAAGGCAGGUGCUGUCUU